AUUUAGAUGAGGCGGGAUCUCCAUUUUCAUGCUUUUUGCAAAGGCCACGAAACCUUGCGUUGGAGAGCAGAGUGAAAAGAGAGAAGCCUACAGAAGGUAAAUCUUCAACGUUUAUUUCAAAUAAAAUGGGGAAGUCAGUCGAGCCCCCGGAGCGCCGAGCGGAUUACAGGUGGGAAGGCACCUGGUCGCCCGUUUCCAUCACUCUGGGGUGACAGGAAUAGGGGCGGCGACAGGAGGGUGCGAACUGCCCGUCCAGCACAUGUGACGUCAAAGCCACUGACAUGGUUAUUCCUGCAUUUGCCGGCAUUCCCCCGAGGUCAAAGGGACCCCGCAGAGGUUACCUCAGUGCCAAAGGGAGGCAGUGUUUUGUGCGGUGGGCGCUCUCCUGGGGCUGGUGACAGAUGGCUGCCAGCCCGGUGAUGGUCACACACCCACUGGCUGAUCUUGGCUAGGUCCUUGGUCCCCACACCCGCCUCCCCCGCACGCGUGCAUCCUGACGUGUAAGACGAGGAACACGGGCACUGGGGCUGGACAGACUGGGAUUUCCGGCCUUGGGACUGUUGCUGGCUGCCGAGCUCCAGGAGCGCUUCAUGAAGAGAACAGCCCCCCCCACCCCCCCACCUGGCGUGAGGCACCGUGGUGCACACUCUGCAUGCACACUAGCUCACUACCACCCUGUGCCGUGGUUGCUGUGGGAAGCUUCCCCGUCUCACAAAUGAGGAAGCUGAGACAGGCGGAGCUCACGAAAUCAGCGCGAUGCCCCCCAACUGGAAAGGGACAGGGCUGGGAUGGUACACGGGUCUGCGCCCUUGACUGCCCCGAGCGGCCUCUCCACAGCCCCUUGGCCUCCACGGUGACUGAUGACUGUAUCAGUGCCUCUCUCGACAUUUGCGAGACGAUCAGAGAUCAUCGUAACGUGCCCGGCAUGCAGUAGGUGCUUAGACGGGGCGUCCAGAUGUCGUGGACGCAGCUCCCUCGGGGGCCUUGUGCAGAAGAGCCGAGCGAGUUGUCACCUCAAAGGUUCAGACAUGCAUGACGGUCCCACCUGCCAAAGGAAACACUGACGUCACCCCCAGGGACAAAAGGAUUCUGGCUCAGUGUUUUUCAUGGGACCAGGAAGCAAAGAACCAGAGCUGGGCUGUGGAUGAGGGGGCCAGCAGGCUGGAAAGAGGGUGCCAAGCUCCCCACCGCCCCCAGAGACAGGACAGCUCCUCAGACCACUGCCUGCCGUCUCCACCACUUCUGUCGGGAGCGGAGCAGGUAGGAAACAGGCCUCUGGGAGCCCUCGGACGUAGAUCCCUAAGAAACGGGGUUCUCCUCACAGGUGGGAAACCUGAGGCGCUAAGGGCAAGGUGGGCCCACAGGGUUGAAUAUGUGCCCUCCCCUCCCUUCCCCUUGGUUUUACUUUCCUGAACUCAAUUUUUAAAAAGCAUUUGCCGUUGUCCUUCUCAUCCAAGCAAGGUCAUCGGCCAGCUUGGCCACAUGACUCAGCCCCUCUGCCCCCCUGCGGGGUUAAGGACAGGGAGCCAGGCCUGAGGCGGACGCUGCUGGGCAGGUGCUCUGGGAUUCAGUGGAAUCCCCUGCCUUGGCUGGUGGGUCCAAAACUCACAGUGGGUGUGCGAGCCUUUCAUCGUGCCUGGCAUGCACGCAGGCCCCUCACGGUGGCGACCUCCGUGCCGGGCGUGACUCUGACUGUGGGUGUCCGGUCACAUGUCAGUCUUGGGACUCAGGCCCCUCCCAGGACACCCGUGUCUGUCUUCAGUGCCCUCCAUCUGCUUUCCCGUUCUUCUUCCAUGCAGCCAGAACCUGUCUUGUCCCCUGACACCGAGGUAAAUGUUGGUGAAAUGUGGUCACCACAGUCAGCAGGGGUAGGUCCCUGGCCUUGCGGAGUAGGGCAGGGGAAAGCCUGGGGGCUGGAGCACCAGGGAGGAGCCCCCGAAAGUUCCUUGAAUGGAGUGGGUCCCUGAGGGUGUAAGGAGGCCUGCAGAUCAGCUUCCUUCCCCGAGUCUCUGGGGAGCAGACAUCUCGGCAGCGGCUCCUCACCCACAUUCCCUGUCAUUGAAUAAUUGGACUUAACCUCCCUUCAUCCCCCAAAAAGGUGCUAUCUCACUGCAGCUCAGAAGAACAUUCCAUCCAGCCCCGGGGAAGGAAUUUAUAAAUAUUACCAUAGGAUUUCGCCAAGCCGCUCAUAAAUCAGUGCUCGGGGCUCCUGGACCUCCCAGAGGAUAUAAAGCUCCUCCUCUGCCUCCUGUGUUUCCAAUUUUAAGUCAAACACAGCCCAGCCCUGUUGGCUCCUGUUGAUCCUCACGGAUUCCAGGGGCCUGUUCAAAGGCUCCCCGAACCAGCCAGCUAAAAAUGACUCUGUUGUUCUCGUUGGAGAAAUUUAAAAUGAAAACUCAUGCAUGAGGUAGACUGCCCCAGGAUGAAUGGAAGCCAUGGGGAUCCAGGGUGUGUCUCUCCACCAAAAAACAAAGCACAAGCAAACAUGCAAAUGAUCUCUAAGAAAGCUCUGGGCACAGCCCACCUGCAGACCUCCCACCAUCCUGCUGUUCUGGUGGGUGUCAGGCAGGAGGCUGGCCCCACCCAGAGGUGGCAAGGUAGAGCCCUUCCCGGGCCCUCCUGCCAGGAGCUGGGUGCUGGGGGCAGGGAGACUGAAGGCUAAAUGUUGGGAGGGCCCAGGCUGUCUCAGCUCAGCACAUGGUGCUGCCCCGCAGGGCUGGGGAAACUGGGGAAAUCCGUGCAAGCCCACCAGCCAUGUGCGAAGCUUACCCCCCUUCGUCCCCACCGAGCUGGUCUCAUCUCCUGGCCGUUGCGUGUCCUGCAGACUCUAGUUUGGAGGGCUUUCCCAUGAUAGAAGGACAGCUCUCCCUGAGGGCAUGCUUCCACACCUCCCUGGGGACCAGGACCCUGUGAGAUGCCCACCCUGUGCUGCACUAGCUCAUUUCAUCCUCAGAACGGGUGGGUGUGGCAGCUACAUCUAUUAGCCCAUUUUAGAGAAGGGAAGAUUGAGACCUCAAUAGUUUAAAUAGGGGCUCCUGGGUGGCUCAGUCGUUAAGCGUCUGCCUUCGGCUCAGGUCGUGAUCCCAGGGUCCUGGGAUCG
Molecule: long non-coding RNA, 3100 nt
Organism: Neomonachus schauinslandi (Hawaiian monk seal)
Lineage: Eukaryota; Metazoa; Chordata; Mammalia; Carnivora; Phocidae
Exons: 3
Source: RefSeq, a predicted model, not a curated record